CGCGCCAAAGUUUUAUCGCACUGUAUAUGUUUAGUGAUUUGGUCUAAACGUUUCUACUACUGAGCCUAACUCGGUUGCUACAGUCAUUUUUGGUUGUGUC
RNAcentral lists this non-coding RNA (100 nucleotides) under Aliivibrio fischeri. RNAcentral's name for it is "Vibrio genomosp. Guanine sequence". It matches the Rfam family "Purine riboswitch aptamer". From Rfam's summary of the family: Riboswitches are metabolite binding domains within certain messenger RNAs that serve as precision sensors for their corresponding targets. Allosteric rearrangement of mRNA structure is mediated by ligand binding, and this results in modulation of gene expression. A class of riboswitches that selectively recognises guanine and becomes saturated at concentrations as low as 5 nM. Lineage: Bacteria; Pseudomonadati; Pseudomonadota; Gammaproteobacteria; Vibrionales; Vibrionaceae. RNAcentral also lists the same sequence under 1 other name. The record is from RNAcentral.